UUUUGUGGCUAUUUGCGCAUUGGGGGAAACCUGACGCAUCAACGCCGCGUGGAGGCUGAACUCCUCUGGGACGUCUCCUCUUUUCGACCGGGUACGCUACUGACGGUAUCGGUGGAAGAUGCUCCGGAUAAUUCCGUGUUAGCAGCCGCGGUAAUACGGGGGGGGCAAGCGCUCCUCGGAAAUUAUUGGUCGUUAAGGGCGCGUUGGCGUUCCGUGCAAGUUUUCCUUGUGAAAAUCCCCCGGGCCUCAAUUUCGGGGCUCCUGCUUGGAGAAAACUUGCCGUGCUUGGAGUUGUGGGUAUAGGUUGAGUUGGGAACCUCCCCGGUUGUAGCCGGUUGAAACUCACUAGAUAUCGGGGAGGGAUACAACCUUUCUGGCUGAAAGGCAGGCUUCACUUGGACCCACAAUUCUGAACGCUUGAGGGGCCCCGAAAUGCUAAGGGGGAGCCAUAACUAGAGAAUUAAGAAACUCCCUGGUUAACUCCCCUAGCCUUCUAAAACGAAUGAAACUGCUCUCUGUCUUGUGGGCCAGAUUCCCCUCAAAUCCCCUCUUUGUUGCUCGGAACUCUAAACUGCCUUAAUAAACUAACACUCGCCUCUGGGGUCCCUCACGUGCUCCGCCAAGAGCCCC
RNAcentral lists this ribosomal RNA (630 nucleotides) under uncultured bacterium. RNAcentral describes it as "partial 16S ribosomal RNA". The stretch from base 1 to 177 matches the Rfam family "Bacterial small subunit ribosomal RNA", at positions 352 to 546 of the family's 1533-position model. The record is from RNAcentral.